This 2005-nucleotide long non-coding RNA is filed under the name Apteryx owenii (little spotted kiwi). RNAcentral describes it as "lncRNA (ENSAOWG00000003115.1)". Lineage: Eukaryota; Metazoa; Chordata; Aves; Apterygiformes; Apterygidae. The record is from RNAcentral.
CUCUUAGUUCAGCUCUUUCAUUGCAGGGCUUUUGGCAGGGAUUAUAAAGCGAUAAUUAGCUCAAAAUGCUUCUGCCAGGAUUUUAACACAAUUCUAACACAUUUCUGUCCAUUUUACCAUAAAUAGCCACCGUGGGAAACAUGUCUGGACAAGCGUUGCAGCUGCCACGGGUAAUAUUAGCGACGAGGGCGAUGGGAGCAUUUUGCCCACAUGAGUUGCUACCUGCUGCCGGGGAAUGUGCUGGGCACUGGCUCCGAUGGCAGCGGGGUCUUUUCGAAGAGUUUUGAAUGCACUUAAUCCUCUAGACCCAUGGGAAUGGGGUUCUUGGAGGAGGCCAGAGGCAUGAUGAACAUAAAUAAAACUAUUCCUGAGCUUAUGUUACUCAGCACAGUGGGGAAAGAUGGUCCAGAAAUUCCCAGCAGGAUGUGCUUCCCCCUGCCCGCAGGCCUUUCGUGCUUUGCUGUAUGACUUGAGCAAACACCUUUUUGUAAAAAGCAAAUCCAGCAGAUUUGGGGGUGUUUUGGGGAGGCCAGUGCACUCUCCCCCUUCCCCUUUACCCCCUUGCCCAUCAGCAGAUGGCUUAUGACUCCUGGAGCAGCUCAGAAAAGGCACAAACACCCUAGCAAAUAAAUCAGGGCUAGGGCUAGGGAGACGCACAGCUCCGUUGAGCUAAACAUUGCACUGAUAUUUUUAAACUCUUCCCUUUGCAGAAGCAAAGCUCACCGUGCCAGCCCUUGGCCUUUCCCAAUGAUGCUGCGGGAAGGCUCCGGCUUUUCAGACACGCCCUCCGUCUGCAGAAGAGCCACACAGAGCACAGCUCGUUACUCCCACGCAAAGUUUAAUGAGGACGUCUCGCACUUGCCACUUGGCAAUCGCAAGCACGGGGCGUUGAGGAAAGAGGCCGUGUUUCGGAUAUCGGCGGUUGCUGCUCUCGCCUCUGCCGGUCACCCUGGAGCAUCCCCUGCAAUGUUUAAGGCCGGCUGGAGGCGGCACAUUUUGUACUAAUGCAGUUUAAGAUGUUAUCAGGGAAGAGAUAAGGGCCAGCCUGAGCGCUUGGCUGGACAGACCCACAAGCAGGGCUUAAUUAAAAUUGCAGUGGCUGCUAUCGGAGGUGAAUGGGAGAAUGAGUAAAAGGCUGUGUUGGUGGCUUGGCAGUGCCCGGUGUUUUUGGAGAGCCGGAGGUGUCUGGGAGAGCAUGGCCGGUACCGCGGGAGGUGGCUGGCUGGGACGAGCAACCAGCAAUCUCUGCUCUGGGCCGAGCCUGGCUGUAAAUUUUGGAUUUGACUGCACAUGAGGAUGUGUGAGUUAAUCCAGCCCUGAUGCGACUAAAUCUACCCUUUGCCCAAACCCUUUUGGUGGAGUGACAGCAGUGUAGUCUGAAUGUGCUUUGCAAUUGCAUUAAGUGUGCUAGAAAAAAAAAAUCUGUCCCUGCUAUUUGUUUGCACUGUUUUUUACCUUAAGGCAUGGGGAAAAAUGGGGAGGAGGAAAAGGGAAAGGGGCUUUGGAGAUGAGGGAGCGCUGCCUCUUCUGUUUGUUAGCUGGGUUACUUUUGGGGGGAGCCUCCAAGCACCUGCUGCCUCAGUUCUGCAAUUUGGCCUCAUUUUUCAGAGGCAUGAAGGCCUUUGGAGAAGGUGCUAAGCGAGAGGGAGGUUUAUUGUGCCAUUUUUGGUCUUUCCACGGGGAACGUGACGCUGGGUAUUGAAUGAGAGGGUGGCUUUGGGCAGUGAAGCCCUGGCCACUUCUUUUUGCUUAAACUGAUACAGUUUUUAAGCUGUCAGUGGCUCUUUGCCACACGUGCUGUUUGUGAGGGGCUGGAGGUUUUUGGCUUCACAGCAAAUAAGCCUCUUUCCCCAUGGUUUCCCUUUUUCAAGGCACUGAUCUGAGGUUUCGCUCCUGCGGCGCCCUGCCGCUCCGUGGGCGUUACGACACUCGGUGUUCUCAGGCGCUGCUCUCCAGCUUGUUCGCUUUUUAAAGUCUUGUCUUUUCAUUAAAUGUAUAUUCUCCU